Molecule: ribosomal RNA, 377 nt
Filed under: uncultured bacterium
Lineage: Bacteria
Description: bacterial SSU rRNA
Rfam family: Bacterial small subunit ribosomal RNA
Source: RNAcentral
AACGAACGCUGGCGGCGUGGUUUAGGCAUGCAAGUCGAGCGAGAAAGUCCCUUCGGGGGCGAGUAAGGCGGCGAAAGGGUGAGUAAUGCAUAGGUAACCUACCUCGGAAACCGGGAUAAUUCCUGGAAACGGGUUGUAAUACCGGAUGGUCCAAUCGGGGCGCAUGUUCUGAUUGGUAAAUGGUAGCUCUGCUUCUGUUCCGAGAGGGGCCUAUGUCCUAUUAGCUAGUUGGUGAGGUAACGGCUCACCAAGGCGGUGAUGGGUAGCCGGACUGAGAGGUUGGCCGGUCACACUGGGACUGAGACACUGCCCAGACUCCUACGGGAGGCUGCAGUCGAGAAUUUUCGCAAUAGGCGGAACGACUCGACGGGCGGACG